Long non-coding RNA from Chelonia mydas (Green sea turtle), 1199 nucleotides. RefSeq lists it as uncharacterized. Lineage: Eukaryota; Metazoa; Chordata; Testudines; Cheloniidae. The transcript is spliced from 3 exons. The record is from RefSeq and is a predicted model, not a curated record.
AGUUUGUACAAAGAAUAUUAAGAAUUAUGAAAAAUUGCCUAAAUUUAUAUUUUAGUGAAAUGAAAAAAGGCACUUUCCAUUGAAGAUAAGGCAGGUAUUUCCAUAAAAAGUUUGGUUUUUAUUCAUUAAUGUGUUAAUUCUUUAGGGCUUAAUUGGUGGUUUAUGCAAUUAGAUUUGUUUUUAAAAUUAGAGAGUUCCUCUCAUUAAAACCAGCAGUCUCAGAUAUAUCUUUGAGAGAAUCCUAUCCCUGGAGUAUAGUUUUGUUCUCUUGAUAUACCUACAGAGAAUAGGCAAAAAUAUAACCCAUCAUGUUUGUUGGGAGAAAACAUUGUCCUUUUUGGUAAAAAUGACCUGUACUUCCAAUUUUAUAAAAAUGGCAUUCUUAUGUACCAAUCCUGACACUUGUGAACAGGAUUAUGGACCAAAAAAACCCCACCUCAUAUAUGGACAUCCCGGGAUAGAUCUCGUCAUUUCUCCACAAUGGAGACAACUCAGGCUUAAACAGUCUUCCUUUUAAGUUCAGACUCCCUCUGCUGUGCUGCUGUAACACCGCUCUGAUCUCAGUUUUUUUCCCUUCAUCUGAGUGUGCCGCUUUAGGCACGUUACUGUCCACCACCGAGCUUUAAAGUUUGUGUUUCUUCUGAGAAUCUGCUGGGAACUUCACAUGAAUUGGAUUUUCAGUAAUCAAAAUCUGUCGACCUUCCUUUUAGGACAGCCUGAGGAUUGUGUGUGUGAGAGCCAGGGCAUGAGUGUAUGUGUAUGUAGCCGAGCUGAGCAUGCCAUGUUACCACACCUUCUGCAAGCUUCCCUUAGCAAUUCAAUAGAGCAGUUUAGCCCAUAAUGUCAGAGAGCAGGUAAUCCAAAUAUCUGAAUUCUGUAAGGAAAAGGUAAGACUGAAUUUCUCCUCUUCCAGCCAAAGGCCCAGUAAUAAUUCUAAGCAUCUAAACAGGGAAAAAUUGCAUUCUUAAUGCUUCAGAGUAACAGCCGUGUUAGUCUGUAUUCGCAAAAAGAAAAGGAGUACUUGUGGCACCUUAGAGACUAACCAAUUUAUUUGAGCAUAAGCUUUCGUGAGCUACAGCUCACUUCAUCGGAUGCAUACUGUGGAAAAACAGAAGUAAUGUAAUUCGGAAAUCCUAAUUUGUGAAUUUUAUGAAAUGUUAAAAAGGGAAAAACAUUAAUAAAUGAUAUUAUUUCUUUUA